Molecule: ribosomal RNA, 254 nt
Filed under: uncultured bacterium
Lineage: Bacteria
Description: partial 16S ribosomal RNA
Rfam family: Bacterial small subunit ribosomal RNA
Source: RNAcentral
CACGUAGGGGCCAAGCGUUGUCCGGAAUUAUUGGGCGUAAAGAGCUCGUAGGCGGUCUGUCGCGUCCGUUGUGAAAACUCGAGGCUCAACCUCGGGCUUGCAGUGGAUACGGGCAGACGUAGAGUGCGGUAGGGGAGACUGGAAUUCCUGGUGUAGCGGUGGAAUGCGCAGAUAUCAGGAGGAACACCGAUGGCGAAGGCAGGUCUCUGGGCCGCAACUGACGCUGAGGAGCGAAAGCAUGGGGAGCGAACAGG